This 77-nucleotide transfer RNA is filed under the name Tenacibaculum ovolyticum. RNAcentral describes it as "tRNA-Ile". It matches the Rfam family "tRNA". Rfam says of the family: Transfer RNA (tRNA) molecules are approximately 80 nucleotides in length. The record is from RNAcentral. Lineage: Bacteria; Pseudomonadati; Bacteroidota; Flavobacteriia; Flavobacteriales; Flavobacteriaceae. RNAcentral also lists the same sequence under 4 other names.
GGUCCUAUAGCUCAGUUGGUUAGAGCACCUGACUCAUAAUCAGGUGGUCCGAGGUUCGAGUCCUCGUGGGACCACCA